RNAcentral lists this transfer RNA (73 nucleotides) under Caldithrix abyssi. Its description in RNAcentral is "tRNA-Phe". It matches the Rfam family "tRNA". From Rfam's summary of the family: Transfer RNA (tRNA) molecules are approximately 80 nucleotides in length. Lineage: Bacteria; Pseudomonadati; Calditrichota; Calditrichia; Calditrichales; Calditrichaceae. RNAcentral also lists the same sequence under 18 other names. The record is from RNAcentral.
GGCGCUUUAGCUCAGUCGGUAGAGCAACGGACUGAAAAUCCGUGUGUCCCCAGUUCGAUUCUGGGAGGCGCCA